AAAUUGAAGAGUUUGAUCAUGGCUCAGAUUGAACGCUGGCGGCAGGCCUAACACAUGCAAGUCGAACGGUAACAGGAAGCAGCUUGCUGUUUCGCUGACGAGUGGCGGACGGGUGAGUAAUGUCUGGGAAACUGCCUGAUGGAGGGGGAUAACUACUGGAAACGGUGGCUAAUACCGCAUAACGUCGCAAGACC
RNAcentral lists this ribosomal RNA (194 nucleotides) under Salmonella enterica. RNAcentral describes it as "partial 16S ribosomal RNA". It matches the Rfam family "Bacterial small subunit ribosomal RNA", at positions 1 to 188 of the family's 1533-position model. The record is from RNAcentral. Lineage: Bacteria; Pseudomonadati; Pseudomonadota; Gammaproteobacteria; Enterobacterales; Enterobacteriaceae.